This 492-nucleotide ribosomal RNA is filed under the name Alcaligenes sp. TJ4. RNAcentral's name for it is "bacterial SSU rRNA". It matches the Rfam family "Bacterial small subunit ribosomal RNA", at positions 295 to 779 of the family's 1533-position model. The record is from RNAcentral. Lineage: Bacteria; Pseudomonadati; Pseudomonadota; Betaproteobacteria; Burkholderiales; Alcaligenaceae.
AGAGGACGACCAGCCACACUGGGACUGAGACACGGCCCAGACUCCUACGGGAGGCAGCAGUGGGGAAUUUUGGACAAUGGGCGCAACCCUGAUCCAGCCAUCCCGCGUGUGCGAUGAAGGCCUUCGGGUUGUAAAGCACUUUUGCAAGGAAAGAACCAGCCUGGGAUAAUACCCUGGGCGACUGACGGUACCUGCAGAAUAAGCACCGGCUAACUACGUGCCAGCAGCCGCGGUAAUACGUAGGGUGCAAGCGUUAAUCGGAAUUACUGGGCGUAAAGCGUGCGCAGGCGGUUCGGAAAGAAAGGUGUGAAAUCCCAGGGCUUAACCUUGGAACUGCACUUUUAACUACCGAGCUAGAGUACGUCAGAGGGGGGUAGAAUUCCACGUGUAGCAGUGAAAUGCGUAGAGAUGUGGAGGAAUACCGAUGGCGAAGGCAGCCCCCUGGGAUGAUACUGACGCUCAUGCACGAAAGCGUGGGGAGCAAACAGGAUU